RNAcentral lists this small nucleolar RNA (131 nucleotides) under Marmota marmota marmota (Alpine marmot). RNAcentral describes it as "Small nucleolar RNA SNORA3/SNORA45 family (ENSMMMG00000001097.1)". The record is from RNAcentral. Lineage: Eukaryota; Metazoa; Chordata; Mammalia; Rodentia; Sciuridae.
GCUAAGACUAGAAUCAAAUCCUGACAUAGUACUUGUCCUUUUGUACUGGAGUCCUCAGACAAAAUUCAGCUGGCCUUGAUUCACUGGUAGGGGCAAUCACAAGUCAUAAAUUGCCCAGGUCAAAAACAUGA